GUCUGAGACCCCUGAAGGGGACACAAGAGGAGGAAGGACAUGGAUCAGUGUUUUCUUUCUUGAAGCUACUGUUACCACCCCUGGAAAAGUUCUUCAGGAAUAAGUGACAGUAAGAAUGACAAGGGAUUAGGACUGGCUUCCUCUUAUAAAUAAUAAAAUCCAAAGAGAAGUGACUUGAGUCUCCAGGUUUAAGGAAGAGCAACUAGAAGUCGUCCAAACACCUGCAUCUCAUAAGGAGAAGAAAAGUCCACCUGGAUCUUGUUUCUGGACUGAGAUGGAUGGAGAGGCCACAGUGAAGCCCGGAGAACAAAAGGAAGUGGUGAGGAGAGGAAGAGAAGUGGACUACUCCAGGCUCAUUGCUGGCACUUUACCACAAUCUCACGUCACCAGCAGGAGGGCGGGAUGGAAAAUGCCCCUCUUCCUCAUACUGUGCCUGCUACAAGGUUCUUCUUUCGCUCUUCCACAAAAAAGACCCCAUCCGAGAUGGCUGUGGGAGGGCUCUCUCCCCUCCAGGACCCAUCUCCGGGCCAUGGGAACACUCACGCCUUCCUCGCCCCUCUGCUGGCGGGAGGAGAGCUCCUUUGCAGCUCCAAAUUCAUUGAAGGGCUCAAGGCUGGUGUCAGGGGAGCCUGGAGGAGCUGUCACCAUCCAGUGCCAUUAUGCCCCCUCAUCUGUCAACAGGCACCAGAGGAAGUACUGGUGCCGUCUGGGGCCCCCAAGAUGGAUCUGCCAGACCAUUGUGUCCACCAACCAGUAUACUCACCAUCGCUAUCGUGACCGUGUGGCCCUCACAGACUUUCCACAGAGAGGCUUGUUUGUGGUGAGGCUGUCCCAACUGUCCCCGGA
Molecule: small RNA, 846 nt
Filed under: Pan troglodytes (chimpanzee)
Lineage: Eukaryota; Metazoa; Chordata; Mammalia; Primates; Hominidae
Description: processed transcript
Source: RNAcentral